AACGCACCUUGCGCCCUUUGGUAUUCCGAAGGGCAUGCCUGUUUGAGUGUCAUUAAAUUCUCAACCUUGAACCAGUUUUGCGACUGGGUCAAGGCUUGGAUGUGAGGGCUUUGCUGGCUUCCUUCAGUGGAUGGUCUGCUCCCUUUAAAUGCAUUAGUGGGAUCCUUUGUGGACGGUCACUUGGUGUGAUAAUUAUCUACGCCUUGUUGACUGUGAAGCAAAACUUAUGGGACCCUGCUUAUAACCGUCCUUCGGGACAAUUUAUUGACCAUUUGACCUCAAAUCAGGUAGGACUACCCGCUGAACUUAA
Molecule: ribosomal RNA, 310 nt
Filed under: uncultured fungus
Lineage: Eukaryota; Fungi
Description: eukaryotic LSU rRNA
Rfam family: 5.8S ribosomal RNA (bases 1-52)
Source: RNAcentral